This 1342-nucleotide ribosomal RNA is filed under the name uncultured bacterium. RNAcentral describes it as "bacterial SSU rRNA". It matches the Rfam family "Bacterial small subunit ribosomal RNA", at positions 40 to 1382 of the family's 1533-position model. The record is from RNAcentral.
CUACAGGCUUAACACAUGCAAGUCGAGGGGCUCACUAGGUAGCAAUACUGAGGUGGCGACCGGCGCACGGGUGCGUAACGCGUAUCCAACCUUCCCGAUACUCUUGGAUAGCCUUCCGAAAGGGAGAUUAAUACAAGAUGGUGUUUCACUUUCGCAUGUUAUUGAAACUAAAGAUUUAUCGGUAUCGGAUGGGGAUGCGUGACAUUAGAUGGAUGGCGGGGUAACGGCCCACCAUGUCUACGAUGUCUAGGGGUUCUGAGAGGAAGGUCCCCCACACUGGAACUGAGACACGGUCCAGACUCCUACGGGAGGCAGCAGUGAGGAAUAUUGGUCAAUGGUCGGAAGACUGAACCAGCCAAGUAGCGUGAAGGAUGAAGGUUCUAUGGAUUGUAAACUUCUUUUAUACGGGAAUAAAACACACCACGUGUGGUGUCUUGUAUGUACCGUAUGAAUAAGCAUCGGCUAACUCCGUGCCAGCAGCCGCGGUAAUACGGAGGAUGCGAGCGUUAUCCGGAUUUAUUGGGUUUAAAGGGAGCGUAGACGGGGGAUUAAGUCAGUUGUGAAAGGCUGCGGCUCAACCGCAGCACUGCAGUUGAUACUGGUUCCCUUGAGUGCGGUUGAGGUGUAUGGAAUUCGUGGUGUAGCGGUGAAAUGCUUAGAUAUCACGAAGAACUCCGAUUGCGAAGGCAGUACACUAAGCCGUAACUGACGUUGAGGCUCGAAAGUGUGGGUAUCAAACAGGAUUAGAUACCCUGGUAGUCCACACGGUAAACGAUGAAUACUCGCUGUUGGCGAUACAUUGUCAGCGGCCAAGCGAAAGCAUUAAGUAUUCCACCUGGGGAGUACGCCGGCAACGGUGAAACUCAAAGGAAUUGACGGGGGCCCGCACAAGCGGAGGAACAUGUGGUUUAAUUCGAUGAUACGCGAGGAACCUUACCCGGGCUUAAAUUGCAGAGGACAGGCGCAGAGAUGUGCUCUUCUUCGGACCUCUGUGAAGGUGCUGCAUGGUUGUCGUCAGCUCGUGCCGUGAGGUGUCGGCUUAAGUGCCAUAACGAGCGCAACCCUUGCCAAUAGUUACCAUCAGGUUAUGCUGGGGACUCUAUUGGGACUGCCAUCGUAAGAUGUGAGGAAGGUGGGGAUGACGUCAAAUCAGCACGGCCCUUACGUCCGGGGCUACACACGUGUUACAAUGGGAGGUACAGAAGGCCGCUACCCGGCGACGGGAUGCCAAUCCCCAAAACCUCUCUCAGUUCGGAUUGGAGUCUGCAACCCGACUCCAUGAAGCUGGAUUCGCUAGUAAUCGCGCAUCAGCCACGGCGCGGUGAAUACGUUCCCGGGCCUU